GACGAACGCUGGCGGCGUGCCUAACACAUGCAAGUCGAACGGUGAAGGGACCGGUUUUUGCUGGUUCUGGAUGAGUGGCGAACGGGUGAGUAACACGUGAGUAACCUGCCCCCUUCUUCUGGAUAACCGCAUGAAAGUGUGGCUAAUACGGGAUAUUCUGCGCCUGCUGCAUGGUGGGUGUGGGAAAGAUAUUGUUUCGGUGGGGGAUGGGCUCGCGGCCUAUCAGCUUGUUGGUGGGGUGAUGGCCUACCAAGGCGGUGACGGGUAGCCGGCCUGAGAGGGUGGACGGUCACACUGGGACUGAGACACGGCCCAGACUCCUACGGGAGGCAGCAGUGGGGAAUAUUGCACAAUGGGCGCAAGCCUGAUGCAGCGACGCCGCGUGAGGGAUGGAGGCCUUCGGGUUGUAAACCUCUUUCGCCAGUGAAGCAGGCCUGUCCCUUUUGUGGGUGGGUUGACGGUAGCUGGAUAAGAAGCGCCGGCUAACUACGUG
RNAcentral lists this ribosomal RNA (493 nucleotides) under uncultured bacterium. RNAcentral describes it as "partial 16S ribosomal RNA". It matches the Rfam family "Bacterial small subunit ribosomal RNA", at positions 28 to 507 of the family's 1533-position model. The record is from RNAcentral.